RNAcentral lists this long non-coding RNA (4272 nucleotides) under Sarcophilus harrisii (Tasmanian devil). RNAcentral's name for it is "lncRNA (ENSSHAG00000029211.1)". Lineage: Eukaryota; Metazoa; Chordata; Mammalia; Dasyuromorphia; Dasyuridae. The record is from RNAcentral.
GCGGGCACGUGGCCCUCGCCGGGCAUCCUCAGCGACUCUUGCAACCCCAGCCCGGCCACCCCCGGUCCCCGGAAGAGCAUCCCGGAGCCCCCCUGCGCCAGGCCCAGUUCGUGGGGGCUCCCGUCGGGAGGCAGGUUGGAGCCACCCAGCCUGCGAGGCAGGAGGUCUCCGGGGGGCGGAGGCGGCGGGUGGGGUCCGGGGAACCAGGCGCUCUCUUGUGCCAAGUGCGGGUUCUGCGGGUCGAAGUUCCCCAGGCGGGCGCCCCCGCCCCCGCCGCCGCCGGAGCCCCCGCCGCCGCCCCCGCCGCCCCCGCCGCCCUCCCGCUCAAAGCUGGCCUGGGCCAGGCCGGCCACCGGGCCCCCGUGCACCAGGCCGCCGGCCGGCCCCACGUCCCCGGGGUGGCCGAGCGGCGGCAGGCCGGGCUGGCGCAGCCGCUGCUGCUGCUGCUGCUGUUGCUGCUGCUGCUGCUGCUGCUGCUGGGUGCGGGACGCCAUCUGCUUCAUCAUGAGGGCCGCGUUCUGGCGUUGCUGCUGCUGCUGCUGCUGCUGCUGCUGCUGCUGUUGCUGCUGCUGCUGCAAGGCCUGGGGGUCCGGGCCGGGAUGCUGCAGGGCCGGGCCCGGGGGGAAGGCGUCGGGCACCGGGGGGGUGAAGUCCCCCGGCAGGCCCGGGUAGGCCGAAGGGGACAGGUGGUUGUCCAGCGCUCCGCUGUGCAGGCUCCCGUUCCACGAGGCGCAGCGGUCCACGCUCGGGGUGCCCGGGAAGUCGAACCUCGCCCUCUUGGCCACGUUCAUGUAGGGGGCAUCGAAGUGCUGCAGCCUCUGGUUCGGCGCCUGCGGCGGCGGCUGCUGAGGGGCAGGGGGAGGCGGCGGGUGCUGCAUGGUGAACACCGGGUCGGAAUAGGGGUGCAUGCUCCUGUUCUCCAGUCUGUGGAUGGGGUACUCGAACUGCGCGUGCUGGUUCGGAAGGAUGGGCCCGCCGUCCUGCAAGCUGCCGCCCGCCGGGGUGGCGUCCGCCUGGGGCUGCCGGGGGAUGGUCGGGGGGCAAGAGUUUUGUCUGGCCAGCAAGCCGGGCUGCUGCUGCUGCUGCUGCUGCUGCGGGGGCUGCGGCUGGGGCGGCUGCGGGGCCUGUGGCAUUAAGGGGUGCCUGGCCGCGUUCACCCCGGCUUCCAUGCCCACUGCCAUCUUCCGGGCCCCUCCAAACCUCUCGAAGAAGACUCCGCCGCCGUGCUGCGGCUGCGGCGGCGGCGGCGGCGGCGGCGGCGGCGGCUGCUGCGGGUGAAUCUUGGACAUAGCCACCAUGCCCGGGGCUCUGGGCAGGGCCGCGGCUCCGGGGAAGGCGCCCCCGGGCACCUGUCUGCCGCUCCCGUAGUGAGGCAGCUGGCCCUCGGAGUCCGAGGGCGAAAACACGGGCAGAUCGAAGUGUCCCGAGGGCCCGUCGCCGGGGUAAUUGUAUUCCAGGGACUCGACGCCCCCUUGGUUGGCCAUCCUGCGGGCCUCCAGGCUGUGCGAGUCGGAGCUGCUAGAGGCCGGGAGGCCGUGGAAGGAGGCCGCCCGGUUGGGGGACUGAUCCAGCGGGAGGCACGGGGCGGGAACCGCGUGGCCCGAGGGGCCCGAGCCGUGGUGUUGGAACUCGGGGAUGUUGCCGGGCCUCUGCUGCCCGAAACCUUCGCCCCCCUGGGUGUCCGCCAUGUGCUCGUAGCCCUCGGCGAAGCCGGGCUGGCUGCCCAGGCCGCCCCCGCCGCCGCCGUAGCCCAAGAGGCGGCCCCCGUGCAGGCAGGAGGCGCCGGGAUCCGGGCCUGCGAAGUUGCCGCCGAAGUGGGGGUGGUGCUGGUGAGGAUGGUGGCCGCCGGGGUGGCCGUGGUGAGGCUGCUGGCCGCCGAAGAAGCCGUGCACCGGCUGCGGCUGCAAGCCCCCGGCGUGCAGCUCCGAGUGGCCGCGCCCGUGGAAGGCGUAGGGCUCCCCGGCCAUGCCCAUGUUCAUCCCCAGGAGAGGGGGCUCGCCCAGGGCGCCGAUGCUCGGGUCCGCCGGCCCCCCCGCGUGGAAAGCGGGGGCUUUGAAGUGGCCGUUCAUAUUCAGGCCGGGUUCGCCAAAGUUUCUGUCGCCUUGGCCAGCGUUUCUGUUAUUGAUCGGAGGCUCAAACUGAUCCAGGCCAAACAUACUUUCGGGGGAGGGGGGGGAGGGGCGGGGGGCGGAGGACAAUCAGUAGGGCAUGACAGCCGCUUUCUCCCCGCGCGCCUCCUGCCAGCAGCGAGCUCUGCCCCCGGGACCGGCACUCCGAGGCGGCUCGGGGCGCGCUCAACUGGGGUGAGGGCGCAGCGCGCGCCAGCCGCCUCGCCCUGGGGCCGGAUCCGGGGCCGGGGGGCCGGGGACACCGCGGAGGGGGGUGGGGGAGGGAGCGCGGGGGCUGGGGGAGGGGGUCUCCGCUCCUCACCCGAGAUACUGCCUCAGCUCGAAUCCCGCGUGCAGGGUUCACAUCUUGCGGGGGGAGGCCCCGGGGGAGGCAGCCAGCCCCGGGGUUCCCACGGGCUGGGUCAGGGGGAAAGGGGACGGGAAGGGGCGGGGGGGAGCCGGCCCCGGGGCCGCCUCGGCGGGGGAACGGGGCCGGGCCCGGGGAAAAAGAAAGUGGGGAGAAGGGGGGAAGGGGGGGGGGAGAAAAGGCGAUCACCUUCUCAAGUCCAAACGGCUCGGGCUCCGGAGAGAUGCCGCCCGCAAGCCGGGAGCGCCAGCCGAAAGGCCCCGCCAAGGGGAGUCAUUCAGGGCAGGCUAGCGCCGGAGGACGGAAGGGCCCCCUCCCGGAGUCUCCGCCGCUCCCGCCCGCUGUCCAAAUAUUCGCUGGCCCGGCUGGCUCGGAGCCGCCCCCCCCCUCACCCCCCGCUCUCCCGCAGACAGCGCGUUCCAAGCAGCCUCUGUUCUAGGGGAUCCGGGCGUUGGAGGCUCCGCUCCGCAUGGCGAACGUAGGGGCCCCCGAGCCGGGCUCGCUGCAGAGCCGGGGACGUGCCGAGGGAGUCCCGCACCGGGGCCGGAGCUUCGGGGCUGCCGGCUCCGCGCGGACCGCCGGGCUCGGGGACGGCCCCGAGGCGUGGGGCUGGGGGCCGCGGGCGGACGUCCGGACGCCUUCCCCUCCGCGGGACCGGGCGCCCCCGGCUCCGAGCCGGCGGGGCGAGCGCCUUGCCGCACUCAGACGCUCCGGGGGCCGGCCGCCUCGGCCGCCUCGCCUGCUUCCCCUUCCGUCCUGCGAUCGCUUCGCCCGCUCCCUUCCUUUUCUCGACCGUUGGUUCGGGGCUCGGAGUUUGGCCGCACUCGCUCGCUCGCUCGCUCGCUGGGCUCCCGGCUCCGGCUGCUGAGGGGAGGGGGAGAGGUUGGUUCUUGGGCUCUGCGCUGCCCGGCCUCUGCCCCGAGGUGCUUCCGAGCCUCCACUCCCCCUUUCGGACUGGGGAGGGGGAGAAAGGAGGGGGGGAGGUUGAGGACGGGUGGGAGGCACAGACCCGAAGAGGGGGGCUGUGGCGCUCUGGGCUCCUCUCUCUGGGCUCAGGGGAAGGGAGGAACGUAGGGCCUUCGCUCCCCUCUCCCGGCUGGGGGCGGGGGGGGGAGGCCUCGGUGUGGGGCGCUCCGAGGGUCUCCCUCCGCUCCCCUCUCUCUGUCUCUGUCUCUCGCCCUGCGCUCGGGAACCAGCAACAAGUUUUGCAUUUCAGCAAUCAAUUUCAGCCAUUAGGUCUGCGCCAAUCAGCGGGACGCGAGCUCCGGGCCCGGGGCGGGGCUCACUCUUAAGGUGGUCCGGAGCUGAGGCCGGGGAGCCAGCCCCCGCAGAGAGCCGGUGCUUCCCCCCAUACGUCCCACCCCUAACCAACCCCUCCCCCCGUCACCGCCAGUAUCCCCAGUGCCCUCGGCACCUCGGGCCUCGGGGUCCGCGGUGGGGGGUGGGGGUGACCGGGGAGCUAGGAUGGGGGGUGGGGGGGAAGAGGAGAGAGUGAAAGCGGGGGACUUACGAGAGGGAGAAGGAGGGAGAGCGGGGCUUUGUUCCAUUUCCCGUGCAGUGCCCCCCACCCCCUGCCCCUCGUCUCCUCCCCGCCGCCACUGAUCCGGAGCGGGACUCACCGGGCCGGCUGGGAGCGGGGAGGGGGACCGGGAGGGACAGAGGUGGGAGGUGGGCGGCGGUUCGGGCCGAGUGGUGCGGGACGCCUAGACAAUGGGGUCGGGAGGCGAAGCCCCGGGACUGGCCUCGGAAAGUCGCCAAGUGGUGGCCGGGAGCGAACCGCCGGCGCAGGCCGACGCU